AUUGAACGCUGGCGGCAGGCCUAACACAUGCAAGUCGAGCGGAUGAAGGGAGCUUGCUCCUGGAUUCAGCGGCGGACGGGUGAGUAAUGCCUAGGAAUCUGCCUGGUAGUGGGGGAUAACGUCCGGAAACGGGCGCUAAUACCGCAUACGUCCUGAGGGAGAAAGUGGGGGAUCUUCGGACCUCACGCUAUCAGAUGAGCCUAGGUCGGAUUAGCUAGUUGGUGGGGUAAAGGCCUACCAAGGCGACGAUCCGUAACUGGUCUGAGAGGAUGAUCAGUCACACUGGAACUAAGACACGGUCCAGACUCCUACGGGAGGCAGCAGUGGGGAAUAGUGGACAAUGGGCGAAAGCCUGAUCCAGCCAUGCCGCGUGUGUGAAGAAGGUCUUCGGAUUGUAAAGCACUUUAAGUUGGGAGGAAGGGCAGUAAGUUAAUACCUUGCUGUUUUGACGUUACCAACAGAAUAAGCACCGGCUAACUUCGU
This 483-nucleotide ribosomal RNA is filed under the name uncultured bacterium. RNAcentral's name for it is "partial 16S ribosomal RNA". It matches the Rfam family "Bacterial small subunit ribosomal RNA", at positions 30 to 506 of the family's 1533-position model. The record is from RNAcentral.